This 357-nucleotide long non-coding RNA is filed under the name Trifolium pratense (red clover). RNAcentral describes it as "long non-coding RNA (TPRA_LNC006084)". The record is from RNAcentral. Lineage: Eukaryota; Viridiplantae; Streptophyta; Magnoliopsida; Fabales; Fabaceae.
ACAGUGGUUUCUGGGUUCUUGGAUAUUAGGAUUGACGAGGGUGAUUGGAGAAGAUGAGUGUGAUUUGAGAAGAGGAACGAUUAAUGGGAAACGAUUGCUCUAACUUCGAUUUCUCUGAGUUCUGAUUGCUCUGAGUUUGAUUAUAGAGGAACGAUUUCUAUCGAAGUUCGAUCCUUUAAGUUUGAAGCUAGAAGACGAUUGAUUUCGAAUCUAUGGUUUGAGUUCAAUGUUUCCUAGGAAUGGUUUGAAAGAAGCUAGAAGAAGUUGAUUUUGUUUCUAGGAUUUGAGUUCUAUGUUUGCUGGAAGUGGUUUGAAGAUCGUGGGAUUGAGAUUGGGAGUGCGAAAAUUUGAUAGAUC